CUUGACCGAGCCCAGCCACAGCGGCCGGUCGGCCGGAUGCCCCUGCCCGUAGGUCGCCAGCAGGGCCUGCGCUUC
Molecule: non-coding RNA, 75 nt
Organism: Streptomyces tsukubensis NRRL18488
Lineage: Bacteria; Bacillati; Actinomycetota; Actinomycetes; Kitasatosporales; Streptomycetaceae
Source: Rfam